AAAAUAAAAGUAUGAUGUGAGGUUAGUGAGAUUUUUUUUUUUUUUGAUGGAAAUGAGAAAAAGUAAAUGAGGUAGUUUACAUUUUAUUACUUAGUGUGACAUGUUUGACACGCCUUCUAUCCAAAACAUAAGCGUUUUUUUGUCUUUAAUCAAAAAUAAACCGUUUCAAAUCACUAACUCUCGAUUGUCAACAAAUGUAGUUUUAUUCGCUUUCUAGUGAUCACGUCAUUCACUUUAGUUCAUUAAGAUCAAACAGAAAAGAGGAUUUUUGAAGACCAUCACUACCACAAAUUAACUAUUAACUGUUCAAAAACAUUUGACUUUCAUAAUGCUAUGGUAC
This 340-nucleotide small RNA is filed under the name Arabidopsis thaliana (thale cress). RNAcentral describes it as "ATSL013140". The record is from RNAcentral. Lineage: Eukaryota; Viridiplantae; Streptophyta; Magnoliopsida; Brassicales; Brassicaceae.